Molecule: small RNA, 28 nt
Filed under: Bombyx mori (domestic silkworm)
Lineage: Eukaryota; Metazoa; Arthropoda; Insecta; Lepidoptera; Bombycidae
Description: ovarian small RNA-33062
Source: RNAcentral
UGAUUCGUAAAUCUAGAAUAAUCUAGAU